This 862-nucleotide ribosomal RNA is filed under the name Allogalathea elegans. RNAcentral's name for it is "partial 16S ribosomal RNA". The stretch from base 739 to 862 matches the Rfam family "Bacterial large subunit ribosomal RNA", at positions 2473 to 2597 of the family's 2925-position model. The record is from RNAcentral. Lineage: Eukaryota; Metazoa; Arthropoda; Malacostraca; Decapoda; Galatheidae.
GAUAGAUAUUAAUUUAAAAUAUUUAAUCUAAGAAUAUAAGGGUAGAGCUUUAUCAUUCAAUAAUAAAUGAAAUAUAAGUUAAUAAGUAUUUAUUUUGAUAAUUAGGUUUUUUAGUGGCCAUAUUUUUAAAGUGUUUUAACUAAUAUAAUUGAAUAAUUUAUUUAUUAGACUUUAUUAAAUUAAUAAUAUGUUUUUUAAAAUGGAUAAAUAUUAGAAAUAAUGAAAAUAUUAGUAGAAUUAAUAUAUGAGAAAAAAGAAAAGUAUUAAAAGUAAAAUAUGAAAAUAGUUAAGAAAAAAAUAGAGGAACUCGGCAAAUAAGGUUCUUGCCUGUUUAACAAAAACAUGUCUCUAUGAAGUUAUAUGAAGUCUGACCUGCCCAUUGAAAUUUAUUAAAAGGCCGCGGUAUAUUAACUGUGCAAAGGUAGCAUAAUUAGUAGUUUUUUAAUUGAAGGCUUGUAUGAAAGGUUGGACAAGGGAUAAGCUGUCUUUAUUUUUAUUUUUGAAUUUGUCUUUUAAGUGAAAAGACUUAAAUAAGUUUAAGGGACGAUAAGACCCUAUAAAUCUUUAUAUUAGUUUAAUUUUAUUUUAAAUUUUAAUGUUUAAAAGAGUAAAGUUAAUAUAGUAUUGUAUUGGGGUGAUAGGAAUAAUUAGUAAACUGUUCGAAGGUAUAAACAAAAAUAUUUGAUUAUAAUUAUUAGUAGAUCCUUAGUGGAGAUUACAAGUUUAAGUUACUUUAGGGAUAACAGCGUUAUUUUUUUUGAGAGUUCUAAUCGAAAAAGAAGUUUGCGACCUCGAUGUUGAAUUAAAAUUUCUUUGUGGUGUAGUAGUUACAAGAGAGAGUCUGUUCGACUUUUAAAAUUUU